GAAAAGGACAAAGAAAUUAGUCAGCUACAAACUCUGGUUGCUCACUUGGAAGCUACCAUAAAAGAUUCUGAGAUCACCAUUGCCACUAUAAAACAGCAAAUAGAACAGGAAAACUGCAGUGAAUCCAAGGAGAAAAGCAUUGGCUCAAGAAGGAAACGGUAUUUAGAAAGGGAUGAAGAAGGCCCCCCUUCAAAGCAAGGAUUCAUUCACAACAGUUCUAAAGAUGCCAUAGUCUCAGAGAAAGCUGAUGAAACACAACCCCAUCCUUUGAAGGAAAAGGGAGACA
Molecule: long non-coding RNA, 286 nt
Filed under: Notechis scutatus (mainland tiger snake)
Lineage: Eukaryota; Metazoa; Chordata; Lepidosauria; Squamata; Elapidae
Description: lncRNA (ENSNSUG00000013646.1)
Source: RNAcentral